This is a long non-coding RNA of Cyprinus carpio carpio, 2725 nucleotides long. NCBI's taxonomy places the organism in Eukaryota, Metazoa, Chordata, Actinopteri, Cypriniformes, Cyprinidae. The record is from Ensembl.
AUGAGUAUGAAACAGCUGUACCGUAUACCAUUCCAAAGGAAUGAGGACAGAGUUAAGGAGCUACGGUACCAGUAUGUACAGCGUAUAAUGGAGUUGGAAUCAAGUGAACCCUCUCACAACUUUGUAUACGUGGAUGAGGCUGGCUUCAACCUGACCAAAUGCAGAAGGCGGGGUCGGAAUGUCAUCGGUCACAGAGCUACUGUGGAUUUGCCAGGCCAAAGGGGAGGAAAUAUCACCAUGUGUGCUGCUAUUUCGGAGCAUGGCGUCCUAACCCAUAUCCCCCUUAUAGGGCCAUACAACACCCAGCAUCUACUCAACUUUUUAGAGACUCUCUACAGGGCUCUCAUCCCUGAUGAUGAGAGGGGUCUUUUUUAAAGAGAGGAUUUGCCAAAGUAUGUGGUCAUUUGUGAUAAUGUGAGUUUCCAUCGAUCAAACAUCAUAAGGCAAUGGUUUGUGACCCACCCGAGGAUGCUCAUAGAAUUCCUCCCACCUUAUUCACCAUUCCUUAACCCAAUUGAGGAGUUCUUUUCAGCAUGGAGGUGGAAGGUGUACGAUCGUCAGCCACACACACAGAUGACCCUGCUGGCUGCAAUGGAUGCAGCAUGUGAGGACAUCACAGUAGACGCCUGCAGAGGAUGGAUAAGGCAUUCCAAAAGAUUCUUUCCACGUUGCAUUGGAAGGGAAAAUAUCCGGUGUGAUGUGGAUGAGAAUAUGUGGGCCGACAGACAGGAACGUCUGGAUGUGUAGAGACAGCACUAGAACAGUGCUGCGGGCAAAGUUGUGCCUUAGGGGUGUUUACUGUGUUUCUUUCUAAUUUAGUUUUUAUUUUCCUUUGUGCCCCUUGUCUUUUUCUUACUGUAAAUUAUUUUGUUGUUUUCUUUCAUAAAGUAGCACUAGUAAAAGCUGUGAAAAACAAAAUCUCUUUUGUCUCUUUCAAUCAAUAACCACAUACAGUAAUAUGUAAAUGGUACUGUUGAAAUUGAUAUAUGCCAUAGAAGUGCAGCCUUGUGCAUUUUCAAUACAGUAACUGUCAUCCAAACUGUAGCCUAAGUUUACAUCUGGUAAUACUGUCAAAGUACACAGUUACAUUGACAACAUGCCUAAACAUUUUGACGAGCUUGUUCGUGAACAAUGACUCAAUGACUUAUCAUUCUGAUGGCACUGACAUGAUCGUUGGCAUGAAUAUUUACUUUUGAGAGAUGUACUAAGGAUUUUUAGUGACUGACUAGCUUUAGAAACAUAUCUAUUGUAUAUUGCAGUUUGUACAAAUUGUUCUGAGAAAUGCACUUAUUAUUUUGCACAUGUUAGGGAUGAUGUGAAAAACGCACCAAAGCGACUGAGAAAAACUGUAAAAGUGUAACUAGGAAUUAUAUCCAGUCUCUUUCAAUCAAUAUCCCACAUACAAUAAUGUGUAAAUUUGUACUUUUGAAAUGGAUAUAUUGCAUACAUAAGCAUAUGGCAUACUUUUCAAUACAGUAACUGUCAUCCAAAAUGUUGCCAUAGUUUACAUCAGAACAUCCCUCCAGAGUACACUGUUAUAUUGACAACAUGACUAAGCAAUUUGACUGUCUUAUCCUUACACAAUGACACAAGGACUUGUCAUUCUGAUGGCACUGACAUGUUCAUUGACACAGAUAUUUAUUUUUGAGAGAUGAACUAAGGAUUUGGAGCAAGAGACUGGCUUUUGCAGGUAAUCCAUGGUGUUUUACUAUUUGUACAAGUUGUUUUGAGAAAUGCACUUACUGUUUUGCAAAUGUCAAGGAUGACUCGAGAAAUGUUCCAAAGCGACUGAGAAAAACUGUAAACGCUUAAAGUUUGAAUAUUUUGAAGGCAAUACAGUCUGUCAGAGAUAGAUGGAUGGAUGGAUGGAUGGAUGGAUAGAUAGAUAGAUAGAUAGAUAGAUAGAUAGAUAGAUAGAUAGAUAGAUAGAUAGAUAGACAGAGAGAUAGAAAGAUAGAAAGAUAGAUAGAUAGAAAUAGUUAGAUGAUUGAUAGAUAGACAGCCCUUGUGAGGUCCAGAUCUGGACUACAGACAUGAGCCACACAUGAGCCAUAACUGCGUAGUUCCAGGCAGCUCUCUUGACCGCAUUAUAGUUCCAUAUCACUUUGCAUAGUAAAACCGUAAUAACGGUCACGCAGUUUGCACAAAAAGGUGUUGUCAGCUCUGCCCUGACGAUUUUAUCAGUUAGCCUAUACAGUGUAGCAACUUAAAGGCUACACAUGACAUUUCUCACUAGCGAUGUAAUAACAGCGCUGUUUAGAGAUGCUGCAGAACAGAAUCCUUCACAGAAAAACAGCUAUCCAAACUCAGCCUGUGCUGCCAGAAAUAUACAAACAACGUGUCUUGCAGGAGCUACAUAGUUAGUGGAAAGGACCAUAUCUUUAAUUGGAGACAGAUUCUUCUGGCCAAAAAUGCAGGGUGAAAUUGAAUAUGUUGUGACCAAGUGUUGUAACUGUUUUAAACAGGAGAAGUCAAGUAAAGAAAUUAGAGCACCACUCAUGAAUAUUGUCACCACCCACCCAUUUGAUCUUGUUUCCAUUGACUUUUUGCACCUCGGCAAGUGCAGAGGAGGGUAUGAAUAUAUUUUGGUGAUAGUUGAUCACUUCACGAGGUUUGCACAAGCUUACACCACCAUAUCGAAAUCUACCAAAACCGUUGCUGAAAGAAUCUUUAAUGACUAUGCACUGAAAUUUGGAUUUCCCAAAAGGAUUCAUCAUGACCAGGG